This 1090-nucleotide ribosomal RNA is filed under the name Nerthra adspersa. Its description in RNAcentral is "SSU rRNA". It matches the Rfam family "Eukaryotic small subunit ribosomal RNA", at positions 411 to 1412 of the family's 1831-position model. The record is from RNAcentral. Lineage: Eukaryota; Metazoa; Arthropoda; Insecta; Hemiptera; Gelastocoridae.
CACAUACCAAGGAAGGCAGCAGGCACUGCAAAUUACCCACUCCCGGCACGGGGAGGUAGUGACAAAAAAUAACGAUACUGGGACUCAUCCGAGGCCCCGUAAUCGGAAUGAGUACACUUUAAAUCCUUUAACAAGGAUCCAUUGGAGGGCAAGUCUGGUGCCAGCAGCCGCGGUAAUUCCAGCUCCAAUAGCGUAUAUUAAAGUUGUUGCGGUUAAAAAGCUCGUAGUUGGUUCUGUGUGCCACGCUGUCGGUUCACCGCCUGCGGUGUAACUGGCAUGUCGUGGGAUGUCCUGUCGGUGGCGGCCGUGCGCUUUGGCGGGGCGUAAGGUCCUUGAGGCCGAAGCCCCGCCGCUGCUCGUCCGGUCGCCUAUCCCAUCCUGCUCCGGUGCUUUUAAACGAGUGUCGAGGCAGGCCGACACGUUUACUUUGAACAAAUUAGAGUGCUCAAAGCAGGCAGAAUUCCGCCUGAAUACUGGUGCAUGGAAUAAUAGAAUAGGACCUCGGUUCUAUUUUGUUGGUUUUCGGAAUCCGAGGUAAUGAUCAAUGUGGACAGGCGGGGGCAUUCGUAUUGCGGCGUUAGACUUGGCAAAUGCUUUCGCGGUGAAAUUCUUGGAUCGUCGCAAGACGGACUAGAGCGAAAGCAUUUGCCAAGUAUGUCUUAGUUGAUCAAGAACGAAAGUUAGAGGUUCGAAGGCGAUCAGAUACCGCCCUAGUUCUAACCAUAAACGAUGCCAGCCAGCGAUCCGCCGGUGUUCCUACGAUGACUCGACGGGCAGCUUAGGGGAAACCAAAGCUUUUGGGUUCCGGGGGAAGUAUGGUUGCAAAGCUGAAACUUAAAGGAAUUGACGGAAGGGCACCACCAGGAGUGGAGCCUGCGGCUUAAUUUGACUCAACACGGGAAACCUCACCAGGCCCGGACAUUGGAAGGAUUGACAGAUUGAUAGCUCUUUCUUGAUUCAGUGGGUAGUGGUGCAUGGCCGUUCUUAGUUGGUGGAACGAUUUGUCUGGUUAAUUCCGAUAACGAACGAGACUCUAGCCUACUAAAUAGGCGCCCGGUAUCCAAAGCUACCGGCGAAGUCAUUUCUUCUU